CACACAAACACUAGUUUAGGUUUUAUUGUUUGAUUGCCCACUUAAAGAUUCAGUAGGCAGAGUGUUUUGGGCAUCAUUGGGCAAAAAAUCCAUAUCAACCUUUCAGCAUAGUAAUUCAAGUGUUCUGAGAGAAAACUAGACUCCAGCGCCUCCUCAUGGCUCUGUUUUCAGGCUUUAAAAAAUCUAG
Molecule: long non-coding RNA, 187 nt
Organism: Sebastes umbrosus (honeycomb rockfish)
Lineage: Eukaryota; Metazoa; Chordata; Actinopteri; Perciformes; Sebastidae
Exons: 4
Source: RefSeq, a predicted model, not a curated record